GCCAGGCAUGGUGGCGUGUGCCUGUAAUCCCAGCUACUCAGGAGGCUGAGGUAGAAGAAUCGCUUGAACCUGGGAGGCAGAGGUUGCAGUGAGCGGAGAUCGCGCCACUGCACUCUAGCCUGGGUGACAGAGCAAGACUCUGUCUCAA
Molecule: non-coding RNA, 148 nt
Filed under: Nomascus leucogenys (northern white-cheeked gibbon)
Lineage: Eukaryota; Metazoa; Chordata; Mammalia; Primates; Hylobatidae
Source: Rfam by way of RNAcentral